RNAcentral lists this ribosomal RNA (457 nucleotides) under uncultured bacterium. RNAcentral's name for it is "bacterial SSU rRNA". It matches the Rfam family "Bacterial small subunit ribosomal RNA", at positions 55 to 507 of the family's 1533-position model. The record is from RNAcentral.
AUGCAAGUCGAACGGCAGCACGGGAGCAAUCCUGGUGGCGAGUGGCGAACGGGUGAGUAAUAUAUCGGAACGUGCCCAGUCGUGGGGGAUAACGUAGCGAAAGCUACGCUAAUACCGCAUACGAUCUAUGGAUGAGAGCGGGGGAUCGCAAGACCUCGCGCGAUUGGAGCGGCCGAUAUCAGAUUAGGUAGUUGGUGAGGUAAAGGCUCACCAAGCCGACGAUCUGUAGCUGGUCUGAGAGGACGACCAGCCACACUGGGACUGAGACACGGCCCAGACUCCUACGGGAGGCAGCAGUGGGGAAUUUUGGACAAUGGGCGCAAGCCUGAUCCAGCAAUGCCGCGUGCAGGAUGAAGGCCUUCGGGUUGUAAACUGCUUUUGUACGGAACGAAACGGUGAGCUCUAAUACAGUUUGCUAAUGACGGUACCGUAAGAAUAAGCACCGGCUAACUACGUG